Molecule: unclassified non-coding RNA, 244 nt
Filed under: Hevea brasiliensis (rubber tree)
Lineage: Eukaryota; Viridiplantae; Streptophyta; Magnoliopsida; Malpighiales; Euphorbiaceae
Source: RNAcentral
GUUUGGUUCUCUUUUGCAGGACAUGGUAUGUUUGAAUAGCAUCUUCGAUUCUUUGAGAGAAAAUUGAUAGUGGUGAAAGUUUGUAUUCUUUUUAGAUAAUUUUUUUAUUCCUUAUAAUUCUUUAACUUUUUGGAAAUUGUAAAUAAAUAAUUUGGUGCCAAUUUAUUUAGUUCUCUUUGAAAAUGAUAGUGAUAAAUUAAUACUUUAAUUUAUUAUCUUCGAAAAUUGUUGUGAUCUUUUAAUU